This 412-nucleotide ribosomal RNA is filed under the name uncultured Lactobacillus sp. RNAcentral describes it as "bacterial SSU rRNA". It matches the Rfam family "Bacterial small subunit ribosomal RNA", at positions 58 to 446 of the family's 1533-position model. The record is from RNAcentral. Lineage: Bacteria; Bacillati; Bacillota; Bacilli; Lactobacillales; Lactobacillaceae.
CGAGUCUGCCUUGAAGAUCGGAGUGCUUGCACUCUGUGAAACAAGAUACAGGCUAGCGGCGGACGGGUGAGUAACACGUGGGUAACCUGCCCAAGAGAUCGGGAUAACACCUGGAAACAGAUGCUAAUACCGGAUAACAACAGAUGAUGCCUAUCAACUGUUUAAAAGAUGGUUCUGCUACCACUCUUGGAUGGACCUGCGGUGCAUUAGCUAGUUGGUAGGGUAACGGCCUACCAAGGCGAUGAUGCAUAGCCGAGUUGAGAGACUGAUCGGCCACAUUGGGACUGAGACACGGCCCAAACUCCUACGGGAGGCAGCAGUAGGGAAUCUUCCACAAUGGACGCAAGUCUGAUGGAGCAACGCCGCGUGAGUGAAGAAGGGUUUCGGCUCGUAAAGCUCUGUUGUUGGUGAA